This 1047-nucleotide long non-coding RNA is filed under the name Carassius auratus (goldfish). RNAcentral's name for it is "lncRNA (ENSCARG00000066603.1)". Lineage: Eukaryota; Metazoa; Chordata; Actinopteri; Cypriniformes; Cyprinidae. The record is from RNAcentral.
AUGAACCGACCACCAAGGAACUCAGCAGGCAGGAGGGCCUCUGAGCUUCAGCGUCAGGCGGAGUUCCGGAGGCUGUGCUGGACGUCGUCCCCCGCCGACAGGAAGGGGGUCACCCUCCCAUACUCGCCUGAGGGGGAAUGGGUCCUCCGUAAUUAUGCCCGGCUGUGGGAAAGCAUCUCCCAGGAGGAGCCACAGAGGUCCCCUCCACCUACCCAGCUGCCAACGAUCCCUGAGGGUCGUGUCCUGGCCGUGGCAACCCUGGGGGAUCAGGCAAGCCCCUCCCAGAGUCCUGAGGUGCCCUCCACAGCCAGCAGUCUCCCCAUGAAACGAGGGAGACGGUUUUCAUGGGAGUCAACUUCUGAGUCUUCGGCGUCCGAGACUGCCCUGCCCGAGACCAAACUCCCCCAACCCGCCUCUGACCCAGCUGUGGCCUCUGCACCGCGCCCAAGGAGGAAGAGGAGGAAGAGGGGGCCUGCCGGUCCUGUGACCCUGUCUCCUCCCGUGCCAGCAGCGGAGAGCGCUGGCGUGCCCGUGCCAGCAGCGGUGAGCGCUGGCGUGCCCGUGCCAGCAGCGGAGAGAGCUGGCGUGCCCGUGCCAGCAGUGGUGAGCGCUGGCGUGUCCGAGCCAGCAGCGGUGAGCGUGUCCGAGCCAGCAGCGGAGAGCGCUGGCGUGCCCGAGCCAGCAGCGGUGAGCGCUGGCGUGCCCGAGCCGGCAAAGAAGAGGGCAGUAUGCAAGUCGGCAGUCGUGAGAGCGCAGGAGAGUGCCGCGGCCGACUCUGCAGCAAAGACUUUAGUACAGUGUGUCUCAUCUCGUAAGGAGAUGCCAAUUGUCUUAGCGGCUAAAGCCUUUUCAGAUUAUUUGUCUAGUCUUGUCCGUAUCCUAGAAGUCCCCGUCAGUCCUGUCUUGUCCUCAGACCCUGUCCCCAGAAAUCCCGAGUGUCCUGAUGUCGUCUCCCCGUGUCCCGUAGAUGUCCUCUCCCCGUGUCCCGUGAGUGUUGCCCCGUGUCCUGCUGAUGUAGUCAUGUAUCCUGUUGAUGUGGCCCCGUGA